UACGUAGGGGGCGAGCGUUGUCCGGAUUUACUGGGCGUAAAGAGCGUGUAGGCGGCCACGCAGGUCCGUUGUGAAAACUGGAGGCUCAACCUCCAGACGUCGACGGAAACCGUGUGGCUAGAGUCCGGAAGAGGAGAGUGGAAUUCCUGGUGUAGCGGUGAAAUGCGCAGAUAUCAGGAAGAACACCAAUGGCGAAGGCAGCUCUCUGGGACGGUACUGACGCUGAGACGCGAAAGCGUGGGGAGCGAACAGG
This 253-nucleotide ribosomal RNA is filed under the name uncultured bacterium. RNAcentral describes it as "partial 16S ribosomal RNA". It matches the Rfam family "Bacterial small subunit ribosomal RNA", at positions 524 to 776 of the family's 1533-position model. The record is from RNAcentral.